GCAAACACAGAGAGUUUUGUCCAAGGCCACCUUGGUCCCCACCUGUCCAGGUUGGGAGGUGCCCUGCCUGGUGUGGCCUGAGCUGAGCGCCUCUGGCCGGAGCAGACGGCCCCGGCUCCCCCAGGACAUGUCACCUGGAGAGGUGGCCCUUUCAGGACUUGCUGUGCUCAGAUCCUCCAUUCAAGAGAGCUACAGACACGGGGGUGCUGGUGAGCAGGAGCCGAGACCAUCUGGGGUGGGACCGACCAAGAGUUUGAGGUGUCCAGGGGGUGACGUGAAGAUGACCUAUUGCAGAGGGUCCCUUCUCAUUCACGCUCUGAAGUCUGCACAGGGGCAGGGGCUACCGUGCUCCAUUUCAGUUUGGCCUCUGUUGUAUCAGCCAGAGGCCAGCAGAACUCUAUGGUCACUCCCCCGUGUCACGGACAAUUUGCCACCUCCACCGGCAGCCCAGGGCUCUGCCUGAAUAUUCUCGCCUGAUCGUAGGAUUGUGGGGAGGGAUAUUCUCAUUGAUCUCUAAGGAAAAUAUUGUUCGCUUUUUAAAAACAUGAUCUGGUACCAUUUCAUUGAUCUCUUUAAGGAAGAAAAAUCACAUGGUUGUCAUGAGCAUGUACCGACAGAGCUAGGAGGGCCAGCUGUUCCGGGUUGCCCAGGGCUGUCUUGUUUUUAAAAUGGAAAGUUCGAUGUCCUGGAAAACCCCUCAGUCCUGGGCAAACCAGGUCACGCUGGAUAGAAGGAGUUAGACAUUCAUAUGAUGUGCCGAUGUCUUGCCAGUUGUAGAGUUUUGUGUAAACCUGUGUGUGGCCUGCGUGUCCACAUGGGUGUGUAGGAUGGCACCUACACACAUACCUGAGGUCACCUCUUGGUCCAGUGAGCCAGAAUCCUGGGACUUCAUCAUCUUUUUUUUUUUUUUUUUUGAGAUGGAAUCUCACUCUGUCACCCAGGCUGGAGGGCAGUGGCGCAAUCUUGGCUCACUGCAACCUCCGCCUCUGGGGCUCAAGCAAUUCUCCUGCCUCAGCCUCCCGAGUAGCUGGGAUUAUAGGCGUGUGCCACCACGCCCUGCUGAUUUUUGUAUUUUUUAGUAGAGAUGGUGUUUCACUAUAUUGGCCAGGCUGGUCUUGAACUCCUGACCUCAAGUGAUCUGCCUGCCUUGGCCUCCCGAAAUGCUGGGGUUACAGGCAUGAGCUACCAUGCCCGGCCUCAGAAUCCUGGGACUUCUGCUGGAGCCAGGGGUCAGAACAGACUCCUCUACUGGGACUGCCUGGCAGGGAGGACAGACGCUCAAGGCGGCCCCAUGAGAACACAGCCACCUGGAAAAAUGGUGGAAGGGAAGAUUCUGCCAACCUCCUCCGACUCCCUAUCUCAGUUACACUGGUCCAUAAUUUCUUUUCUUUUUCUUAAGUCUGUUUCAUUGGUUUCUGUUCCUGGAAAAUGGACACAAUUCUGAUGAAUUCAUGUAUUCUGCAUCCACGUGUCAGCAUCUCCAGCCUUGUGACGCAGUGCCUGGCUCAGAACAGGCAAUCAGGCCAUGGCAUCUGAAUGAAUGAGAGGGUGUGCCCUGGCCGUAUCUCAGGCAGCAGAUGCAUUCAGCUGCAGGUAACAGACACGUAGACAAACAGUGGCUUAAAAAAGAGAGGCUUUAAAAGUAUUUUGUUUUUCUUUCUUCACGUAGCAAGAAGUCUGGCAUUUGGCAUUCCCAGGCUGUGGCGUGACAGCUUUGUGAAGUUAUCAGGGUCUCAGACCCUGACAUAUUUCUGCUCUGCUACCCUCAGCAUGUAGAUUUGAUCUUCACGGCUACAAGAAACCUGCUGCUACUGCAGGCAUCUUACACGAGUUCCAGGCAGGAAGAGAAAGGAAAGGGUGACAGAGACAGAAAGCAAUGUCCCCAGAUACCCUUAGUUUUCCAUCUCAUAAGCCAGAAUGAUGUCACGUGGCAUCCCUGGAUGCACAGGAGGCUGAGAGAUAGUGGCGUUUGUUAGCUGGUCUCCUAGCCAUCCUGAAUGCCAAGUUUGUUAUAAAGAAACAGAGGCAAAAUGGCGAUCAGGCAGGCAACUGGGUGGUCUCUGCCACGGGCCCCUUGGCCAUUCUUUGUAAUGAUGGUCUUUGUCUUGGACCCUAUUUUGGAUAUUUGGGCACCUUUGUGGUACCCUUAUGUGCUGGUUUUGCUGUUGUCUGCCCUUCAGGAAUAGCAGCUGAGUCAAGCUGUCCUUGGCUGCUCCAAUCUGGAGUCAGAGGUUGGAGAUUUCCAUGGCUCCCCAUGGCUCCUUGGGGCCUCCUAAGAAAAUGUUUUAAUAAGGAAGUCCAAGGCUGAGACAGACAUGCUCCUUCUUAGAGACACAUGGGAACAUGCCUCUGCUCACAGCUGGUAGCCACAGAUGUAAACCGUAGCCCAUGGAACGGAGACAGUGAAGAAUUGAUGGAUAAAUGAAUAAUGAUGAUGGACAGCAGAUGUAUAAAAGGCAUAAAAGGAUAGUGUUAGGGCUGGAAUGUCUUCCCCCCAAUUCAUAUGUUGAACCUUUAAUGCCUAAUACUUCAGAAAGAGACUGUGUUUGAAGAUAUGGUCUUUACAGAGGGAAUAAAGUUAAAAUAAGGUCAUUAGGGUGAGCCCUAAUCCAAAGGAUGGGUGUCCUAAUCAGAGGAGGAGAUUAGGACCCAGACACACACACACACACAGAGCCAGGUGAGGACACAGGGAGAAAAUGGCCACGUACAAGCCAAGAUGAGAGGACUCAGGAAGAACCAGCCGACUCCACCCUUCAAAACUGUGAGAACAUAGAUGUCUGCUGUUUGAGCCACCCUGUCUGCAAGCAGUCAGCAAGCAUUCAUUGAGUGCUUGCAGUAUUCAAGGCACCACAGAUACAAUGUUGAAUAAGGCAAAGCACCUGCCCUCAGGUAGCUUGCAGUCAGGGAGGUAAGGGUAGUGGGCAGAGAGACCUGGAAACAGAUAUUAGACCUGCACUAAGCAUGUGUGGUUAUUGAACAGUAAAAAUGCCACCACAAAUUGCGAUAUGAUGUAAGUAAAAUGCGUACUGGCUAUUGAAGACUUGGCACAGAAAAAUAAUGUAAAAUCUCAUUAGUAAUGGUUUUAUAUUGAUUACGCAUUGAAAUAAUACUAUUUUGGACAGAUUGGGUUAAAUAAAAUAUUAAAUUUGAUUUCGCCUGUUUCUUUUAUUUUCAUUACUUAUUGGCCAUGAUAUUUUAUUUAACUUUUAACUUUUAUUUUAGAUUCAGUGGUACAUGUGCAUGUUUGUUAUACAGGUAAACUCAUGGGGGUUUGGUGUACAGAUUCUUUGUCACCUGAGUACUAAACUUAGUACCCAAGAAUUAUUUUAUCUGAUCCUCUCCCUCCUCCCACCUUCCACCCUCAAGUAGGCCCCAGUGUUUGUUGUUCCCCUUUAUGUGACCAUGUGUUCUCACAAGUGAGAACAUGUGGUAUUUGGUUGUCUGUUCCUGUGUUAGUUUGCUAUGGACAAUGGCCUCCAGCUCCACCCAUGUUCCUGCAAAGGACAUGAUCUUAUUCUUUUUUAUGGCUGAAUAGUAUCCCAUGGUGUAUAUGUACCACUUUUUCCUUAUCCAGUCUACCAUUGAUGGGCAUUUAGGUUGAUUCACCUAUUCCUUUUAAUAGGUCUUAAUAUGGCUAGUAGGAAAUUUAAAAUCACAUAGGUAGCUUAUAUUAUUUUUGUUAUGGACAGUGCUGUGCUGGACCUUCAUAAUGCAGUAAAAGGGUGGCGGGUGAAUGCAUGGUGUGUUACAGGAACGCAGGAGGGAGCUUCUUGGAGGAGGUUCUUAGUCCAUUUAUGCCUGAGGUUGCCGUUUUUUAAAUUUUUGCAAUCAGACCUUGGUGAUGACCUUGAGCAGUAGGAUAUAUAAAUAACUCCCACAUGCUCAGCAUUCCAAUAAUGGAACACUAGGCAUAAAUGGGUUGAGUGAUAAUGUUUGGACUGCAAACCAGAACCUAUGAGAUGCAGCUAAAGCAAUUCUUGAAGGGAAAGUUAUAGCCUUAAAUAUUCAUAUUAACCAAUAGAAAGAAUGAAAACAUAUGGAUUAGGCAUAUGGCUCAAUAUAUUGAACAUAAUAGAAAAAACUAAGAAAAACAGAAGGAAGAAAUAAAGAUAAGAGAGGAAAUAUAUGCAUUAAGAAGCAAUAGAAUUAACAAAUGUACCCAAGUGCCAGAUUUUUCAGGGGCAUAAAAAAGGAUGCUGUUAGUCAAUCCUAUCAAGAAAAAAGAAGAAAACAUAAAUGAAAUAAAAGUCUAUGGGGAAAACAACCGCAGAGACAUAAAAUGGCAAAUAACCACAGGAAACUGGCACUGGGAUACAUAAAAGAUUUUGAGACUUUGAAAACAUAGAAAAUAUAAUUUAUUUUAAAAAAGACUCCAAAAGAGAUGUAAAGUCUAAACAAAUUGAUUACCAUAGAAGAAAUAGAAAGUUGUCAAAGUCGACUUUCCUUAAAAAAAAAAAAAAAAAGCAUCAGGCCUAGAAUGUUUUAUAGGAGGAUCCAACCACACCAAAAACGAACAGGUAAUUAAACACUAUUUAAACUGUUCUAAAGCAUAAAAGAAGGAAUAUUUUUAACUUCUUUUUAUGUAACAAGCAUAUCAUUGAUGCCAAGAUCCAUCAUAGAUGGCAUGGAAAGAGAAAACACACACCAGUGUUGUUUGGGAACAUUGAUGUAAAAAUAUUAAGUCCCUGAAUUAAGCAGCACAUUAGGGGAGUAAAUCAUUGCAACAACUGAGCGGAAUGGAUUCCAGAAAUGCAAGGAUGGUUGGGUAUUAGAAAAACAAUUAGAAAAGAGGAAGAAAUCAGAGGUGCAAACACUGGGAAGGAAAAUCAUUAUUUACAGAGAGAUGGAUGAUUUUCUUGGAAAAUGGAAGAGAGUCAACCAGAAGCAAUUGCAAAUGCUAAUACCAGAAUUCAGUCAAGUGAGUGGGUCUAGAUCAAUACAGAGAAACCAUACACACAGCAAUCCACUAGAUGAGAAGCAUGAAAGACCCCAUUUAUAAGAGCAACAUAAAGAGCAGAAACAUGGUUGGCCACUGUGGGUGAUCAAGUUAGGGCUCACAGUGAUUUCCUUUAGUCUGUUUUCAUGUGCAAUCGCCAUGGGUGCUGUAGACAAGAUUUAUUAUGGACACGAGACCCUGACAGUGUCGAGGCUGGUGGAGAAGCCCACACAAAGCUGGUGUUUGGCCUGGGGGCCCAGGUGACCUGCAGGGGAAGCUGGUGGCUUUGCCAUGUUGCUGAGACUAGGAGGCCUAGAUAAGCUAGAGGAACAGCCUCGUUGGAGGGGCUGUGGCCGGGGACCACUGUGGGCUGGGGACUCCACUUGGACUGUCAGAGCACAGAAGCUGACUCUCCUUCCCCACGGCUGCCAAGUCCUGUGCUCCUGGACCUGUCACUACCGUGGAGCCAAGAAGACACAGAAAAAAGCCAUCACAUUUUUUGCGGGUGGCGAUGGUGGGUGCCUCCAUAUAGGGUGAGUACUUGGGGUGGAGGGGUUCCCUGGGCCAUGGGACUUUCAACACUAAAAUGGGGAGGGUCGUGGCCACAUUGGGAUGGCUGGUCAUCCUGUUUAUAGGACAGGAUGUAGUAAAGUGUAGUAAAGAAUCUGACCCAAAGAGAAGUCUAGUCUUUGUCCUUGGUUCCUGGGAGGGGAUCUCCAGGCCCUCGGGAUGUCCUGCUUGAGAAGAGCAUCUUUGUUUGCCUGUCAUGAGGGGACAUUUGGGUCACGUGGUCUCCUUUUGACCUCUGGAGGGGCAGAAAACUAAAGGUCAGUCACUUGGGCAUCAGUGCAUCAUGCCCACGUGAUCGUGAUCAAGCCCCAGUAAAAACUCUGGACACCAAGGCUCCGGGGACAUCUGCUUGGCAAUACUCGACGCAUCUCAUCACGCACCAUUGCUGGGAGGAAUUCAUGCGGUCCAUAACUCCACUGGGAGAAGGAGAUUGGAACUUCCUUGCACUCUGCCCCAUGCAUGCCUUCCCUUGGCUGAUUUUAAUCCUUUCACUGUAAUAAACCAUAACUGUAACCAUUACAACUUUCAGUGGGUUGUUGAAAUGGAGGAUGAUGAACUUGAGGACCCCUGAACUUCCAAUUGCUGUCAGAAGUGAGGGUGGUCCUGGGGACUGUUUCCUAAUUUCUGCAUCUUCGUUCUCUGUUUCUCCUUCUCUUUCUCCUCCUCUUCCUUGAAAACUGCAGAAGGAUAUACCAUGAGCAAGGAUUCUGCCUACCCCAAGUCAUCUCAUCUCCCUCCAUCAAUGCAGCCCGAGCUGCCUGUUUCUUGUGUCUCAUCCAGAGAUAUCCCGUGUGCUUCCAGGCAAAUGCAAAUGUCUUCUCCCACCAACCUCAUUUUCUCCC
Molecule: long non-coding RNA, 6348 nt
Filed under: Homo sapiens (human)
Lineage: Eukaryota; Metazoa; Chordata; Mammalia; Primates; Hominidae
Description: HSALNT0363547
Source: RNAcentral